AUUGGACGCUGGCGGAAUGCCUAACACAUGCAAGUCGAGCGGAGUAGCAAUACUCAGCGGCGGACGGGUGAGGAAUACAUAGGAACUUGCCUUUAGGUGGGGGAUAGCUUGGGGAAACUCAAGGUAAUACCGCAUGAUCUCGCAAGAGCAAAGGGGCGCAAGUCUCGCCUUUACAGAGGCCUAUGUCUGAUUAGCUAGUUGGCGGUGUAAUAGACCACCAAGGCGACGAUCAGUAACUGGUCUGAGAGGACGAUCAGUCACACCGGAACUGGGACACGGUCCGGACUCCUACGGGAGGCAGCAGUGGGGAAUAUUGGACGAUGGGCGAAAGCCUGAUCCAGCAACUCCGCGUGUGUGAAGAAGGCCUUCGGGUUGUAAGGCACUUUAGUGAGGGAAGAAACAGCUUGGCCACACCAAGCCUUGACGGUACCUCAAGAAUAAGCACCGGCUAACUCUGUGCCAGCAGCCGCCGUAA
RNAcentral lists this ribosomal RNA (475 nucleotides) under uncultured bacterium. RNAcentral describes it as "partial 16S ribosomal RNA". It matches the Rfam family "Bacterial small subunit ribosomal RNA", at positions 30 to 523 of the family's 1533-position model. The record is from RNAcentral.